This 433-nucleotide ribosomal RNA is filed under the name uncultured bacterium. RNAcentral describes it as "partial 16S ribosomal RNA". It matches the Rfam family "Bacterial small subunit ribosomal RNA", at positions 29 to 507 of the family's 1533-position model. The record is from RNAcentral.
AACGAACGCUGGCGGCAUGCCUAACACAUGCAAGUCGAACGAGACCUUCGGGUCUAGUGGCGCACGGGUGCGUAACGCGUGGGAACCUGCCCUUAGGUUCGGAAUAACUCCCCGAAAGGGGUGCUAAUACCGGAUAAUGUCUUCGGACCAAAGAUUUAUCGCCUUUGGAUGAGCCCGCGUUGGAUUAGCUAGUUGGUAGGGUAAAAGCCUACCAAGGCGACGAUCCAUAGCUGGUCUGAGAGGAUGAUCAGCCACACUGGGACUGAGACACGGCCCAGACUCCUACGGGAGGCAGCAGUGGGGAAUAGUGGACAAUGGGCGAAAGCCUGAUCCAGCAAUGCCGCGUGAGUGAUGAAGGCCUUAGGGUUGUAAAGCUCUUUUACCCGGGAUGAUAAUGACAGUACCGGGAGAAUAAGCUCCGGCUAACUCCGUG